UAGAGUUUGAUCAUGGCUCAGAUUGAACGCUGGCGGCAGGCUUAACACAUGCAAGUCGAGCGGUAGCACAGGGGAGCUUGCUCCCUGGGUGACGAGCGGCGGACGGGUGAGUAAUGUCUGGGAAACUGCCUGAUGGAGGGGGAUAACUACUGGAAACGGUAGCUAAUACCGCAUAACGUCGCAAGACCAAAGAGGGGGACCUUCGGGCCUCUUGCCAUCAGAUGUGCCCAGAUGGGAUUAGCUAGUAGGUGGGGUAAUGGCUCACCUAGGCGACGAUCCCUAGCUGGUCUGAGAGGAUGACCAGCCACACUGGAACUGAGACACGGUCCAGACUCCUACGGGAGGCAGCAGUGGGGAAUAUUGCACAAUGGGCGCAAGCCUGAUGCAGCCAUGCCGCGUGUGUGAAGAAGGCCUUCGGGUUGUAAAGCACUUUCAGCGAGGAGGAAGGUGGUGAGCUUAAUACGUUCAUCAAUUGACGUUACUCGCAGAAGAAGCACCGGCUAACUCCGUGCCAGCAGCCGCGGUAAUACGGAGGGUGCAAGCGUUAAUCGGAAUUACUGGGCGUAAAGCGCACGCAGGCGGUUUGUUAAGUCAGAUGUGAAAUCCCCGGGCUCAACCUGGGAACUGCAUUUGAAACUGGCAAGCUAGAGUCUCGUAGAGGGGGGUAGAAUUCCAGGUGUAGCGGUGAAAUGCGUAGAGAUCUGGAGGAAUACCGGUGGCGAAGGCGGCCCCCUGGACGAAGACUGACGCUCAGUCGAAGCA
Molecule: ribosomal RNA, 762 nt
Filed under: uncultured bacterium
Lineage: Bacteria
Description: bacterial SSU rRNA
Rfam family: Bacterial small subunit ribosomal RNA
Source: RNAcentral